GCCCCCCCCCGGCAGCCCCCGGCGCCCUUCCCACAAUGCCCCGGGGCGGGCGACAUCCUGCUGCAGUGGCGCCUGCGGAGGAAGAUGGAGGCUGCCGGGGGGGCGGGGCCCGGCGCGGCCCCGCCCCCCGGCACGGCCCCGCCCGGCUCCCACGAUGCCUUGUGGCACGGGGCGUCCCACGAUGCUUUGCGGCGAGAGUCCUCCCUGGAGAGAUGCGGCUCCCAUGAUGCUUUGCUCCAUGAGCUGUCGCGCGGUGAGCGUGAGUCCCAUGAUGCUUUGCGGCGAGAGUCUUCCCUGGAGAGACGCGACUCCCACGAUGCUUUGCGGCGUGAGCCCUCCCACGGCGAGCGCGGCUCCCAUGAUGCUUUGCGCCACCUGACGUCCUUGGAGAGCCGCGACUCCCAUGAUGCCUUGCGGCGCGAGUUCCCUCUGGAGAGACGCGGCUCCCAUGAUGCCUUGCUGCACACGACAUCCCUGGAGGAACGUGGCUCCCAUGAUGCCUUGCGGCGAGCGGCGCACCCGGGGGAGCACGCCUCCCAUGAUGCUUUGCGGCCAAAGAUGUACCUGGGCGCACGUGGCUCCCAUGAUGCUGUGCGGCCCCCGAGGGACAGCUCCCAUGAUGCUUUGCGGCCCUGUGGCUGUGACUCCCAUGAUGCUGUGCGGCCCCGGGACCACAACUCCCAUGAUGCCUUGCAAGAAGAGGGUGCCGCAGAGGGCUGUGGCUCCCAUGAUGCCUUGCGGCCCCUGAGGGACAGCUUCCAUGAUGCUCUGCGGCCCCGGGGCCACAGCUCCCAUGAUGCUUUGCAGCCCAAGAAGCGGAGCUCUUCUGUGGCUUUACAGCAUGGCUGCCGCAGCACCCAUGAUGCUUUGCAGUGCAGGCAGUGUGGCUCCCAUGGUGCUUUGGGGCCCAAGCCACGCCCUUCCCAUGGUGCCUUGUGCUGUGCAGGCUGUGGCUCCCAUGAUGCCUUGCGGCCAAGGAUGCAGCGCUCCCAUGCUGCCUUGCAGCCUAGCGGCCAUGGCUCCCAUGAUGCUUUGCAGCGCAGAGGAGCCAACUGCUGUGGCGGUUGGAGCCUGAAGUCACAUGACUCCCACAAUGCUUUGCAGCAGGGAGGCCGUGACUCCCAUGAGGCCUUGUGGUGCAGAACCUGUGAUUCCCAUGAUGCCUUGCAGCGCAGCAGCCAUGGUUCCCAUGAUGCCUUGCGGCAUGAAGGCCAUGACUCCCAUGAUGCCUUGCGGUGCAGAGGCCAUGAGUCCCAUGAUGCCUUGCGCUCUGAGAAGCACAACCCCCAUGAUGCCUUGCAGCACAGCAGCCAUGGUUCCCAUGAUGCUUUGCAACACGGACACCCUGGCUGCCGUGACGGUUUGGGGACGAAGCCGCACGGCUCCCACGAUGCUUUGCAGCGCGGAGGACCUGGCUCCCACGAUGCCUUGCAGGAUGGAAGCCAUGGCUCCCAUGAUGCCUUGCGGCACAGCAGUCACGACUCCCAUGAUGCCUUGCAGUCUGAGCAGCACGGCUCCCAUGAUGCUUUGCCCUCCAAGCAGCACAAUUCCCAUGAUGCCUUGCAGCACAGGGGACCUGGCUGCCAUGAUGGUUCAGGGCUGAAGGUGCAGGACUCCCAUGAUGCCUUGCAGCAUGGAGGCCAUGACUCCCAUGAUGCCUUGCACUCCAAGCAGCACAGCUCCCAUGAUGCCUUGCGACGCGGAGGACCCCGCUGCCAUGACGGUUCGG
RNAcentral lists this long non-coding RNA (1729 nucleotides) under Apteryx haastii (Great spotted kiwi). Its description in RNAcentral is "lncRNA (ENSAHAG00000017974.1)". Lineage: Eukaryota; Metazoa; Chordata; Aves; Apterygiformes; Apterygidae. The record is from RNAcentral.